This 482-nucleotide ribosomal RNA is filed under the name uncultured bacterium. RNAcentral's name for it is "bacterial SSU rRNA". It matches the Rfam family "Bacterial small subunit ribosomal RNA", at positions 29 to 507 of the family's 1533-position model. The record is from RNAcentral.
AUGAACGCUAGCGGCAGGCCUAACACAUGCAAGUCGAACGGCAGCACGGGAGCAAUCCUGGUGGCGAGUGGCGAACGGGUGAGUAAUAUAUCGGAACGUGCCCAGUCGUGGGGGAUAACGUAGCGAAAGCUACGCUAAUACCGCAUACGAUCUAUGGAUGAAAGCGGGGGAUCGCAAGACCUCGCGCGAUUGGAGCGGCCGAUAUCAGAUUAGGUAGUUGGUGAGGUAAAGGCUCACCAAGCCGACGAUCUGUAGCUGGUCUGAGAGGACGACCAGCCACACUGGGACUGAGACACGGCCCAGACUCCUACGGGAGGCAGCAGUGGGGAAUUUUGGACAAUGGGCGCAAGCCUGAUCCAGCAAUGCCGCGUGCAGGAUGAAGGCCUUCGGGUUGUAAACUGCUUUGUACGGAACGAAACGGUGAGCUCUAAUACAGUUUGCUAAUGACGGUACCGUAAGAAUAAGCACCGGCUAACUACGUG